AGUGAACGCUGGCGGUAGGCCUAACACAUGCAAGUCGAACGGCAGCACAGUAAGAGCUUGCUCUUACGGGUGGCGAGUGGCGGACGGGUGAGGAAUACAUCGGAAUCUACUUUUUCGUGGGGGAUAACGUAGGGAAACUUACGCUAAUACCGCAUACGACCUACGGGUGAAAGCAGGGGAUCUUCGGACCUUGCGCGAUUGAAUGAGCCGAUGUCGGAUUAGCUAGUUGGCGGGGUAAAGGCCCACCAAGGCGACGAUCCGUAGCUGGUCUGAGAGGAUGGUAGGCCACCCUGGAACUGAGACACGGUCCAGACUCCUACGGGAGGCAGCAGUGGGGAAUAUUGGACAAUGGGCGCGAGCCUGAUCCAGCCAUACCGCGUGGGUGAAGAAGGCCUUCGGGUUGUAAAGCCCUUUUGUUGGGAAAGAAAAGCAGCAGGUUAAUACCCCGCUGUUCUGACGGUACCCAAAGAAUAAGCACCGGCUAACUUCGUG
This 492-nucleotide ribosomal RNA is filed under the name uncultured bacterium. RNAcentral describes it as "partial 16S ribosomal RNA". It matches the Rfam family "Bacterial small subunit ribosomal RNA", at positions 29 to 507 of the family's 1533-position model. The record is from RNAcentral.